Molecule: long non-coding RNA, 1481 nt
Organism: Aedes albopictus (Asian tiger mosquito)
Lineage: Eukaryota; Metazoa; Arthropoda; Insecta; Diptera; Culicidae
Exons: 2
Source: RefSeq, a predicted model, not a curated record
UAGACAAAUACACUUUGUCAAAUACUAAAAAAAAUAAGUUUCCUCCAUCUGGUAGUGUUAAUAUAACACAAGCACUUGCUGUUUUUUUGAACAAUGAGAGGCCUGAAAAUGUCUACUACAAAAUAUGAUUUGACUCAUGCAUACCAAUUUGUGACAAUAUGUGUUUGUGUCCAGAUUUUGUCGAAUUAUAACGUAUAGCAAAUCGCGAGAAAUCGUUGCAAUAUACGAGCACCUUUUCUCAAAUAGUGCAUGCUUACAUUUGAGCAACACGCAAUUUACUAUAAGUUACUAUCUUUUAACAAAUUGGGAUAAUGUUGCAGCCAUUAUUAUUUAUCAUACACGCUUGAAAAAGUGAACCAGCCAGUUUGUGCAAGUGUCACAAAAUGAUCGCAAAUUAUUUUGUUCUUUUUUGUUACUUAACUGUAUAAUACUAAUUAAACAAUUUAAUCUAAAUCAUGAAUUUGCGUUAUUUCGCAAUUUUGUUCGAGGUGCGUCAAACUUUUUUUAAGACUUUGUGAUAACUUUUUGCAACCAAGUGUGUCAAUUUUUUAGAGAGUGUUUGCCGUCUUAGCGGCCUGCCUGCAAAAAGCUGUAACAAAAAAUGUAACGGGUUCGGUGUUUGUGGUGGUCCGUGAUGCUUUUGUGUACUUUGUGCGUUGUUAAUCCACGAAAUGUGUGGCUAUCUCGUUGUUCCGUCCUCUGUUCCGGCGAACCACGAUACGGCGAGACGACCAUCGACAGGAGCAAGCAGCAGCUAGAAAAUGAAUCGAAAUCCAUCGCUGCUGCCUAUUUUGAAGAAGUUUUUGAUCAUCUCCCCGAAGAAGAUCCAAACGGAACGGUCGAUUCGGGAACAAUUUCUGGCUUCGGAAACCAACCAGAACUAAAUCUUCAGCCCUGAGUAGAGAAGUGAGCGCCACGAAAAAAUCAGCACCGAGGAGAUGUUGCUGAAUCACUUUGAUGUCUGCCAUCGGUUCUCGGACUCGGAAGCGAACCGGUCGAGCCCGGUGCCGAUUGUUCGAAUAGCAACGAUUGGACCAUGACGACGACACGGGAAAGGAUGUGCCAAUAACCCAGGCUGCGUGAAAGAUUCAUGUAAUCUUGCCUACCCAAAGAAAGGAAGUUUCCGGGACAAAAUUAUUGAAUAUUUUUAAUUCAUAACGGAUAUUGAAUAUGUACUUGUUGCGUCUGAUAAUCAAUAAUAUUUUUCAAGUGGAUUGAUUAUUUUUUCCCUCAAGAAACAAUAAAACAGGUAAUUACACAAAAAAAAAUCAUUUUAGUUUUUACAAGCUCAGGUUGACUAUAGUUUCCAACCCGAUGGUUCACUUGUUUUAAUUCAAAUGAUACUUUUUCGUACGUAAUUACUUGUUUUAUUGUUUCUUAUUGAAUUCAUUGAUCAUUUCUUCACUCUAGGUAGAAACAUAAAAGAGCAAUACAAUAUAGGGUAAAAAUACCAUAACGCACAAUAAACCAACACUACUGCA